GCAGUGCCCUACUUGGAAAGACAUCAGUUGCUUAUAUUACAUGUUACUGUGCUCUUUCUGAGUAGAGUAAGGCU
Callithrix jacchus (white-tufted-ear marmoset) is the source of this 74-nucleotide non-coding RNA. The record is from Rfam. Lineage: Eukaryota; Metazoa; Chordata; Mammalia; Primates; Cebidae.